Long non-coding RNA from Polyodon spathula (Mississippi paddlefish), 2692 nucleotides. RefSeq lists it as uncharacterized. Lineage: Eukaryota; Metazoa; Chordata; Actinopteri; Acipenseriformes; Polyodontidae. The transcript is spliced from 3 exons. The record is from RefSeq and is a predicted model, not a curated record.
AAACCCAUUUGUUUGCAGAGCAGGGUUGUCAAAUAUUUGAUGGUAUGAUGAUGUGGCAGACAUGUUUCUUUUCUGUUGGUAGGGAGCUGUAGGGAUGAAAGCUGUGGUGCAAGUAACUGGUUCAAGAAGAUAUUAGUGUUUGAAGGUCACAGCUGGGGCGCGGUUGUAUGAAACGGUAUAAAGUUCAAUUUAAACAUGCUCAAGUGACAACGUGCAGUUUGCACAAUUUCAUUCUCUGAUGUAGGCAGUCAAUAGUGAUUUGAAAAUAUGCUUUCUCCCUCAUUCUGAAUGUGGUACCAGUUGUAUUAUUCUAUCCUAAAUAAAAUAAAUAUGCUCCUGUUACCUUACGAUUAAAAUUUAUCCUUGGAGCUGCUUAUAACUGUACCAAAGAACACAUACUAGGAUAUUGUGUACAGCUAUUUUAAUGUCAGGCUUUAAAUGCCCCAAAACAUGUUAUCUUUAUCACAGUUGUUGUUUUAUUUGCUGUAUCAAUUAUAAAAUAUUCUAUUAAAUGUUGCAUUAAGUUGUAAACUCACACCACAGCAUAGAGGAAUAUGCAAUGCUGGACAAUUAGUUUAGCUUAUUAAAUGCUGUAAAAUCUGCAAUGAAAUGUUUUUUCCUCAAGAUAAAUAGUUUGUGUAACAGUACCGUAUGUUCCUUGUCUUAAGUUAAACACCUUGAAGAAUAAUACAGUUUUGACACAGUCAAAACUCUUAAACUUCAUUUCAAAGGAGGGGGAGGGGGUGUCCUGAAUGUGUUUUUUUUGUUUUUUUAACUAAAGAUUUAUCAGUAUUUGCUGCUUUUGACAAAUGAAGUUCCUUUAAGUAAACCAUGGUCAUUGUGGUUGUAUUCGGUACGAUCCGUUACUUGGACACAAAGUGAAGUCUCUGUUCUACACAGUAUACAAAGGCUGGCCUUCCUUUGGUUUGAACCCACAGCAGCCUGCAACUGCAUUGUGAGUACAUGCAUUACUGUAACCAUCAUAGUUCCUCAUGUUUGUUGUUCGGUAAAACAAAAAGAGCACAAUUAACCAAUGACCAUAACACCUUCUGCUGCCUCGACAUAUACUGCUGAGGGGAGUCCAGUGCUAAAGUGUCCACUGCCACUGCUGGAGCAUCCAGUGGCAAGCUCGGAGCUUGCUCAACAGGUGGUGCCACCCUCGGGAGAAGGACAGAAGGACGGACCAGUCAGGAACUGAUAGUAACGCUAAGCACCUCCCUCCAUAACCGACGCCCCGGAGGAGCAAACGGGCUCCAGCCAAGGGAUGGACUGCCAGCUCCCUGUACGCACCUGAGACAUGAGGUCCUACUUUACAUAAGGAUCCUGCGUCGUGGUGUUGGAGAGGGGGGAUCAAGCCUGAAGGGAGCUAAAUACAAGCCUUGCACUGGGACGAACAAACAGAUUAGUAGUGUCUUGGAUUGGUCACCUUAAACUAAUACUUUCCCUAAUUGCUGUUUCUACCUGGACAGUGUUUGGCAACUUGGAUUAAGUACAGGACCCACUAACUGAGAUUUCUAGGGCUUUCUUGGACCAAAAUGAAUGUCCUGGAACUAUCUCUUCACCAAAUUGCUGCUUGUAUUGUUCGAGACUGUGGUGUUGUAACAAUGUGUUGAUUUGAAUAAUUGAAAUCAUAAUAUCUGCCUGAAGUCACAAGUAGCCUGCUAACAAUGUUUUAUGGAAGGUUUUUCUUGGUGCCCAGUUUUAGAUGUUUUUAGGAUAGCUUUUGUACUGUGAUAUAGUGAAGGGUGGAUUUUGUAAAUCGUCUAAAAAUAAGCUGUAUUCAAUUGUAUCAUUUCCAGUAUUAAAGCAAUCAUUCUUUUUUACUUAACUGUUUGAGAUUUCUGUAUGCUCCUUGGGAAGGUCUGAGUGGUCAGUUUGAAAUUCAAAAUAACCUGUGGGCAAAGGGUUAUAAAGAUAAUUAUAAAAACAUAUACUUACCUGGAGUUAACAGUAUUAGACCCUGACCCCUAUGCAAAAUAAAAUGCUGCAGUUUAUUUAUCAAAAUAAUACACCAGAAAAAAACAUUCGCAUUAGAGUGAAAGUGAUCCAAGUCUUCUAUUAACCUCUGAACUCAAGGGGUGAAGGACCAACUUUCCUUACAGAAUAUGAUUCAACCUUUUGAAAAGUAUUUUGAUUAGUAUGUUUUCUAAAUGCAUUUCUGUACAGUGUUGCAGUACAAACGUGUCUCAACCUUUUAUUAAAUUGUUUUUCUUAACUUUACCAUGUGUUUCUUUUAACCACCCUCCCACUUCCGAUCUAGGACUAGUGGUUGACAAAUAUUUAUGUGGGCUUUUAUAAAUAUCAGUAUCAGCCAAAACUUCACUGAUAUUUGUUCUAAAAAAUUACAUGAAACAAAACGCUGGCAGAUAAGUUUAGUUUUCCCUGCGCAUCAACAUUGCAUUGCAAGAGUUGAUGUUGCCUAGCAGCAGGAGUCUCACAAGUCCACAUCAAGUUCACCUGGGAGUUGUCGAAGAGGUUUCACAGGCAGAAACUAAAGGUAAAGCCAAGGGAGGGUAGUCUACAUCUUGCUAGAAAAUGUAGAAUGUUGCUUCUACAUUGUUGCUUCAAAUUUCAGGGGACGCUAUUCUGCAUUAUGUAGAAAUUGCAGAUAGAAUGUUCAUGGACAAUACAUGGAUGAUAUGUAUUGCCUAUUAAAGUGUCUUAGAGUUUUGUAGUGUCCACAUAAUUUUCA